UGGCGACCAUAGCGUUGUGGACCCACCUGAUUCCAUGCCGAACUCAGAAGUGAAACGCAAUAGCGCCGAUGGUAGUGUGGGGCUUCCCAUGUGAGAGUAGGACAUCGCCAGGCU
RNAcentral lists this ribosomal RNA (114 nucleotides) under Vibrio sp. THAF190c. Lineage: Bacteria; Pseudomonadati; Pseudomonadota; Gammaproteobacteria; Vibrionales; Vibrionaceae. The record is from RNAcentral.